RNAcentral lists this transfer RNA (62 nucleotides) under Planopleura kaempferi. Its description in RNAcentral is "tRNA-His". The record is from RNAcentral. Lineage: Eukaryota; Metazoa; Arthropoda; Insecta; Hemiptera; Cicadidae.
AUUCAAUUAGUUUAAAUAAAAUAUUAAAUUGUGGUUUUAAAGAUAUAUAAUUGUAUUGAAUA